CUGCUGUCUCCAAGGAGCUGUGGACCAGGAGGAUGGGUGAAGCCACCUGAGGGGAACCCCUGAAACUGAGAAAAGAUGAGGCCAGAGGCCUGGCACCCUGAACAGGAAGGGCUGAGUUGGAAAGCUCAAUGACAUUUCAGUCUCAGCACCUGUGUGUGAACACCUCUGCAACGCUGGCCCAGGUCAAGCUGGAUCCAGCACCUCUGAGUUUGGGGCUGACAUGGGGACGUGCAGAAUGAAGUGACACUGGCUGAAACAACAGAUGAGGAAGAGGAGCAGAAGUUACGGGAAGGGUCACUUUUCCCUCUGGAGAUAGUUCAAGAAGUGGAAAACUCCGUACAGAGGCGAAAACCAAGAAGGGGAGAGAGACCAAGAGAAAGCUGCCUAAUGAACAAAAAAGACCAGGAGAUAGCUGAGGAGAUAGCCAUGCUGCUGAAGAGAGCGUGAGGGGGAGUUAUUGACACAGAGGGCAUGCUGCUAAAAAUUAAAUCUAUCCCUUCCUCAGCCAGUGUUGACAAAAGAGGAUGGUAGGAGAUAUCACCACCAGACACAUGCAUCCCAGGAGAGGAUCAGACACUGGCGGAUAUUGGGCAUCGUACUGGUGCAAGAAAUCAGCCUCUCUGUGGGUCUGGGCAGGCUGUGCCCUGGAUGUCUGUGGGAAAUAAAUUCAAACCCUCAUUGGAAAUAGGGGGAAUCCUGUAGGCUAGAGGGCUCUCAGUGAAGCACCAGCACCUCCAGGCACCAGGCAGGAUCCAGGAGCCCUUCAGGCCCUUGUAGGCACCCCAUGAGUGCUAGGGAAAGUGCAGGGCCACAUGAUCAGGUGGGGAAACUCCACACCAGUUGUGCAUGAAACAGUGUUAUAACAAGAGUGGUGCUGGAGUAAACUGCACCUGAACAUGAGCUCCGCUGGCAGGGCUUCAAAACUCUCAAAAACUCAGUGCGCCCAGAAACGAGGUGUAGAAGAUGAGAGACUGAACUCCUCAGCAAGGGGGUGGGUGGGGGCUUGUGUCCGUCAGGCUCAGCGCAAGGAUGCUGCAACCUCCGUGAGCCCUCACUGCAAUACCAGCACUUACCGCCCAGAGAGCCGAGCCAGCCCGCAGCAGCUGGCCACGGAGAGAGGUAGCGGCGGCUGCUGCAGGGCUCGGAGUCUGGACAUCCCUGUGUCACUCCCGUGUCGGUGCCCGGGAGCACAGCAACGCUGGGGUGUUUCCUACAGCACGGCAGUGCGAGGGAGGACGUGUUCACAGGGACAGAGCAGCAGAGAGAGGAAAGGGAGACAACUUAGGAAAUACUGCCGAGGACUGAUGCCGCUGCUCCGUCCUCACCGGGCAGGGAGGGGAUGACCGGGCACCCAGCACGUGGGGGACACCAUCGCACCGGCACCGAGAAGCAGCAAAAUAAAGUCCCUCUGGUGAAAUGUAUAAAGCAAGGGCGGUCUGAGCUCAGUAUUAUCUCCAGGAGAGAAAAAAGGGUCCUAGACCACCUCUGGAUCCACCCAGGGUGCCAGGCAGGUGUUUGCAGCUGCGAUGUUAUGAGUGGAUGGGAGCCGAGAGGAAAGAGGACAGAGCGGAGGAGCCAGCAGCUCUGUGCCUUGACCAUCGCUGACAGUGGAGCAGCUUUACGGGUGCCGUCACCCACUCCUGGGCACGGCGUGAGCCGGCUUGCCAAGCCUGCCACCCGCUGCGUUGCUAAGGCUGAAGGAACAGGAGGAAAUUACAAGCUGCUGUCUGAGAAUGAGGCCAGAUUUGGCGAGGGACCGGGCAUUUAUACAGAUUACGGGCAUAGGCAGAGUUUCAGCAGUUGAUGCUAAAGAAGUUCUGGAAGGGAGAGACUCGGGGUUUAAGCUCAUCUUGAGCUAGCUGGGGUUAGAAGGAGACUU
This is a non-coding RNA of Struthio camelus australis, 1879 nucleotides long. The record is from RefSeq and is a predicted model, not a curated record. NCBI's taxonomy places the organism in Eukaryota, Metazoa, Chordata, Aves, Struthioniformes, Struthionidae.